CUCUGUGACUCCUACGGGAGGCAGCAGUGGGGAAUAUUGCACAAUGGGGGAAACCCCUGAUGCAGCCAUGCCGCGUGUGUGAAGAAGGCCUUCGGGUUGUAAAGCACUUUCAGUAGGGAGGAAGGUAGUGUAGUUAACACCUGCAUUAUUUGACGUUACCUACAGAAGAAGCACCGGCUAACUCCGUGCCAGCAGCCGCGGUAAUACGGAGGGUGCGAGCGUUAAUCGGAAUUACUGGGCGUAAAGCGCAUGCAGGCGGCCUGUUAAGUCAGAUGUGAAAGCCCGGGGCUUAACCUCGGAAUUGCAUUUGAAACUGGCAGGCUAGAGUCUUGUAGAGGGGGUAGAAUUUCAGGUGUAGCGGUGAAAUGCGUAGAGAUCUGAAGGAAUACCAGUGGCGAAGGCGGCCCCCUCGGACAAAGACUGACGCUCAGAUGCGAAAGCGUGGGGAGCAAACAGGAUUAGAUACCCUGGUGA
This 474-nucleotide ribosomal RNA is filed under the name uncultured bacterium. Its description in RNAcentral is "bacterial SSU rRNA". It matches the Rfam family "Bacterial small subunit ribosomal RNA", at positions 328 to 793 of the family's 1533-position model. The record is from RNAcentral.